GCCUGACGCAGCGACGCCGUGUGGGUGAUGAAGGCCUUCGGGUCGUAAAGCCCUGUCAGGGGGGACGAAAUCUCAACGACCCAAUACGUCGUUGACUUGACGGUACCUCCAAAGGAAGCACCGGCUAACUCCGUGCCAGCAGCCGCGGUAAUACGGAGGGUGCGUAGCGUUGUCGGAAUCACUGGGCGUAAAGCGCGUGUAGGCGGCCUUUUAAGUUUGAUGUGAAAAGCCCGGGGGCACACCCCCCGGAAGUGCAUUGGAUACUGGAAGGCUGGAGUACCGGAGAGGAGGGUGGAAUUCCUGGUGUAGCGGUGAAAUGCGUAGAUAUCAGGAGGAACACCUGUGGCGAAGGCGGCCCUCUGGACGGAUACUGACGCUGAGACGCGAAAGCGUGGGGAGCAAACAGGAUUAGAUACCCUGGUAGUCCACGCCGUAAACGAUGGGCACUAGGUGUUCGGGGUAUUGACCCCCUGAGUGCCGCAGCUAACGCAUUAAGUGCCCCGCCUGGGGACUACGGCCGCAAGGCUA
RNAcentral lists this ribosomal RNA (528 nucleotides) under uncultured Pseudomonadota bacterium. RNAcentral's name for it is "bacterial SSU rRNA". It matches the Rfam family "Bacterial small subunit ribosomal RNA", at positions 381 to 896 of the family's 1533-position model. The record is from RNAcentral. Lineage: Bacteria; Pseudomonadati; Pseudomonadota.